GAUGAACGCUGGCGGCGUGCCUAAUACAUGCAAGUCGAGCGAACAGACGAGGAGCUUGCUCCUCUGACGUUAGCGGCGGACGGGUGAGUAACACGUGGAUAACCUACCUAUAAGACUGGGAUAACUUCGGGAAACCGGAGCUAAUACCGGAUAAUAUAUUGAACCGCAUGGUUCAAUAGUGAAAGACGGUUUUGCUGUCACUUAUAGAUGGAUCCGCGCCGCAUUAGCUAGUUGGUAAGGUAACGGCUUACCAAGGCAACGAUGCGUAGCCGACCUGAGAGGGUGAUCGGCCACACUGGAACUGGGACACGGUCCAGACUCCUACGGGAGGCAGCAGUAGGGAAUGGUCGGCAAUGGGCGAAAGCCUGACGGAGCAACGGCGCGUGAGUGAUGAAGGUCUUCGGAUCGUAAAACUCUGUUAUUAGGGAAGAACAAAUGUGUAAGUAAAUAUGCACGUCUUGACGGUACCUAAUCAGAAAGCUACGGCUAACUACGUG
Molecule: ribosomal RNA, 497 nt
Filed under: uncultured bacterium
Lineage: Bacteria
Description: partial 16S ribosomal RNA
Rfam family: Bacterial small subunit ribosomal RNA
Source: RNAcentral